GAUGAGGAACGCAGCGAAAUGCGAUAAGUAAUGUGAAUUGCAGAAUUCAGUGAAUCAUCGAAUCUUUGAACGCACAUUGCGCCCGCCAGUAUUCUGGCGGGCAUGCCUGUUCGAGCGUCAUUUCAACCAUCAAGCCCCAGGCUUGUGUUGGGGACCUGCGGCUGCCGCAGGCCCUGAAAACCAGUGGCGGGCUCGCUAGUCACACCGAGCGUAGUAGCAUACACAUCGCUCAGGGCGUGCUGCGGGUUCCGGCCGUUAAACCCCUUUUUUACCCAAGGUUGACCUCGGAUCAGGUAGGAAGACCCGCUGAACUUAAGCAUAUCAAUAAGCGGAGGA
Molecule: unclassified non-coding RNA, 336 nt
Filed under: soil metagenome
Description: partial contains 5.8S ribosomal RNA, internal transcribed spacer 2, and large subunit ribosomal RNA
Rfam family: 5.8S ribosomal RNA (bases 1-120)
Source: RNAcentral